GGGACAUCUCUGCUUCACUUUGAGAAGUUGUAAGAGAAUAAGCUCUUUUACAAGAGAGAGAAUGGCAUUUCAAAGCAACCCAAAGUCAAGUUCUUUAGGCAUAUGUUUAACAAAGACAGGAUUCCUCGAGCAUACCACUUUAUAAAGAAGUAAGAAGCAAGACGCAGAGAUUGCAAGACCUCAUUUGGAGAAAGCAUUCAGACUCAUGAAGAAGCAAGCAUAUGAAAACCAAAGGCCAUAAGCAUUCACAGUUGGA
RNAcentral lists this unclassified non-coding RNA (256 nucleotides) under Hevea brasiliensis (rubber tree). The record is from RNAcentral. Lineage: Eukaryota; Viridiplantae; Streptophyta; Magnoliopsida; Malpighiales; Euphorbiaceae.